GUGCAGCAGGCCACUAUUUGAAUGUGUGUUGCUCCUUGUGGCAGGUAUACUGUUCCAAUGCCCUGGGAUCUCUGUAGUGGUCGGUACUGUAUUGAUUAUAAAUGGUGAAGUCCUAGUAUCUUGCUAGAGUGAGCUGGCCAGGAUGGUGGAGCUCUACCACCAUUUCACAGGUUAUAGACAGGGGCCACCAGGUUUCAGGAAAGCAGCAAUGACCCCUCAGUAAUAGUUGGAAAGUGUGAUAUGACACUGAGCUUCACUGUGUUGGUGAAGAAGAGGUGAGGAAAAUAAAAGCUGCAGUUUGCCUCCACCUCUGAAGAAGCACAAUACACCUUUCUGGGUUACCAAUGGGAUACUUCCCAACAGCUUUGUCAUCACAUACAAUAUUCUCAAACAAGAUCUUAAUGGCAUCUACUUUCUCCAGGAACACAGCCCCUGACCUGUGUGUGUUUGCGUAGAGAAGGCAUGCUAUGUACCCCCUAGGAUAUGAAAGAGAGGAUCCAUUUGCUUCAAAGAGCCCAUCAGCAAGCUGUCCUUCCUGUUUUAUCACAAGAUUCCUGUAGCAGAUUGAGCUCUGGCAGUUGAUCUCAGUGGCUUGAUAGAGUGUCAUUAUAAAAACGCACCUGGAAGAUUCUGUGGAAAAGACAACCUCAGAAGACCAAGAGGCUGACUUUGCAAGAGAGAGUCCGUUUACCACUUAGAACCGUGAACACCACCCCCGCCCUCAUUUAUCUCCAGACUUGAACUAGUGGUUAAAUCCCAACAUGUCCCAGAGAAGUCAAAAGCAUUGUAAAAUCUGGGAAUCUGCCCACCACUCAAGCCUGGGAAAGCUGGCAGAGGAUGCACGUGUUUUACUCACCUGAGUGUUUACAAUGCUCGUGAGGUGCCUCCCUGAUAUUUUUAUAGCAGAAUGGAGAAACACAACCAAGGAGAUACACCUAAGUAACAACAGCAAUGAUGUCAAAAAGAGUGCCUGAAUACUUAGGGUGGAGGUCCUGGACAUGCAAACCCAAGCUUCCUCUUUGCUGUGGCCAGGAAUCUGCAGUGAUUGAGAGCACAGACUGUAUCUAAAAUUCCACCUUUCAAAGUUCAGCAUAUUACUUUUUUUUUUCUUACACCUAUAAUAGAGGGAAAGAAAGGAUGUUCCUAUCCAUUCUUAAGGUACAGAGGAAUGAAGAAGGAAUAAACAGACCUUCUGGAUAAUUGCAUCAGCCUUCCCCACUAUUCCAAUGCCAUGCUAACAUUUCAAGUAAUGUCCCUUUUGUCUUGCUGAGAAAAAAUCAUUUCAUGAUUUAUUACACUGGAUUAAAGGCUAUGCACACUCUGGAGUUGGAACAUGACUGAAGGGCAAGCAAGCAUAAAGGAUAUCAGAAACAGUUGAUGUGUUUAAAUUUUUCUGAAUUUCUCAAGUAAACUUUUUAGAAAGUAGUCUGAAGAUAAAAUGGUUAUAUAAGUUACUUAAACUGUAGAUGAUGGCACCUUUAUCCCUAUAUAAUAAAAUUAAGAUAACUCUUCUGGGCACUUUAUUUGGAAUUAAUUAUUUAAUCCUCAUAACAACGCCAUGAAGAUCAUACUAUUACCAUCCAAAGUUUACUGAGGAAGAUACUGAGGCAAGAUUUACAAUCCAAAGCAGAGUGGGAGGAAGAGACCUACAAGACCAUGUUUCAUUGGAUAGCUUUGGAGUAAUAUCUAUAAUUUUAGAAAAAAGUUAAGAGGAAGAAGAAACUGGUGUCAGCUACACUUAGAAGAUUUUACAACAGAGACUGGCUUCCAUUCACUGAUCAGACAUUCACUGAUUUUUAAUUCUUACCACCAGAGAAAAAGUUGUUAUGAUGAGGGUCCUCAGGAAAGACAAUACAGUCAGCCGAGAAAUACAAUUUUCUUUGUCUACUGUUGUUUCCUUUACACGGACCAUUGAAAUAUAUACUUAACCACCAGCAAAACUCCUAUUAAACACAAGUAAAAAAAAAUCACUACAUGCAAAAGAGUGAACACCAGGCAAAGUGAUAAUUUAUGAAUUUCCAGGAUUUUUGUUGUAAUUUACCCGUGUAAGUUUACAAUAAAUGAUUGAUGUAACUAAA
This 2078-nucleotide long non-coding RNA is filed under the name Homo sapiens (human). Its description in RNAcentral is "PREDICTED lncRNA (TCONS_00208407)". The record is from RNAcentral. Lineage: Eukaryota; Metazoa; Chordata; Mammalia; Primates; Hominidae.